This is a non-coding RNA of Arenimonas donghaensis DSM 18148 = HO3-R19, 353 nucleotides long. It matches the Rfam family "transfer-messenger RNA". Rfam says of the family: Bacterial tmRNA, also known as 10Sa RNA or SsrA, is named for its dual tRNA and mRNA-like properties. Its role is to liberate the mRNA from a stalled ribosome. NCBI's taxonomy places the organism in Bacteria, Pseudomonadati, Pseudomonadota, Gammaproteobacteria, Lysobacterales, Lysobacteraceae. The record is from Rfam.
GGGGGUGUCCUGGCUUCGACGGGGGUUGCAAGGUCGACUGGCGCAUGCCGAGGGGGUAGCUUUCCUCGAUAAUCCAGCUGCAAAACUUUAGUUGCCAACGACGACAACUACGCUCUCGCCGCUUAAGGCGUAAGCCCCGAACCCACUUGUGUCCGUGCUCGUGGAUGUAGGGUCAUUAUCACGGAUCAGCGCCCGGCGGCGACCCGCCAACCGGGUGUCUACAUAGCGGGUGUGGACGGUGGUGUGCUUCGCACGCUGUGUUGCCACCGGACGAGAAUCAACAGCGAGCUAAGCAUGUAGUGCCAGAGAUUGAGUGCUCUCGGACGGGGGUUCAACUCCCCCCACCUCCACCA